UGUUAGGUGGCUGAGUCCUAAAGCGAUAGACUGUAGAUCUACUAACGAAGUUAAAUCUUCCCAACAA
RNAcentral lists this transfer RNA (67 nucleotides) under Splendrillia sp. 1 MNHN IM 2013-9619. RNAcentral's name for it is "tRNA-Tyr". It matches the Rfam family "tRNA". Rfam says of the family: Transfer RNA (tRNA) molecules are approximately 80 nucleotides in length. Their secondary structure includes four short double-helical elements and three loops (D, anti-codon, and T loops). Further hydrogen bonds mediate the characteristic L-shaped molecular structure. tRNAs have two regions of fundamental functional importance: the anti-codon, which is responsible for specific mRNA codon recognition, and the 3' end, to which the tRNAs corresponding amino acid is attached (by aminoacyl-tRNA synthetases). tRNAs cope with the degeneracy of the genetic code in two manners: having more than one tRNA (with a specific anti-codon) for a particular amino acid; and 'wobble' base-pairing, i.e. permitting non-standard base-pairing at the 3rd anti-codon position. Lineage: Eukaryota; Metazoa; Mollusca; Gastropoda; Neogastropoda; Drilliidae. The record is from RNAcentral.